Molecule: long non-coding RNA, 452 nt
Filed under: Zostera marina
Lineage: Eukaryota; Viridiplantae; Streptophyta; Magnoliopsida; Alismatales; Zosteraceae
Description: long non-coding RNA (ZMAR_LNC005676)
Source: RNAcentral
ACCACCCGGAGAUUCAGUGCGUCCGAUGCUAUCGACUCUAUCUAUAACAUCUAGAGCCUUGAUUCGAUCGAUAUCAUAUUCAAUUAUGUUGAUCGAACGUCUUUCUGAUUUCAAAUUCAUUUUCUUGUCAUUCUCAUACCUGUUGUUGCUGCUGCUGUUUGAACAGUGACUGUUGCGUCUAACAAGUUGAAUGUUUUCCAUAAAUGAGUUUGGUUUUCCAAAUUCCAUGCUUUUACUUAUUCCCGGUGUCAAUUCACUGGAUUUUACUUGCAUCAGCAUUUCUCGAUCUUCGUCUGUAAGUGUGGUUGAUGUCAUGCCUGGCAUAUUAUUAUUUGAUGGUGCAAUGACUAUGGUGGUUUGACACAGGGGUCUGAUCGGCGAUUUCAUCCUGGAAUUUUGGCUUAAGGCAAUGAGAUGGUGAAGCCACACGACUAAAUCAAGUAUGUAAGCUU